CAGCCGCCGCGGUAACACGGAGGGUGCAAGCGUUAUCCGGAUUUAUUGGGUUUAAAGGGUCCGUAGGCGGAUCUGUAAGUCAGUGGUGAAAUCUCACAGCUUAACUGUGAAACUGCCAUUGAUACUGCAGGUCUUGAGUAAAUUUGAAGUGGCUGGAAUAAGUAGUGUAGCGGUGAAAUGCAUAGAUAUUACUUAGAACACCAAUUGCGAAGGCAGGUCACUAAGAUUUAACUGACGCUGAUGGACGAAAGCGUGGGGAGCGAACAGGAUUAGAUACCCCAGUAGUCCCUGUCUCUUAUAA
Molecule: ribosomal RNA, 301 nt
Filed under: uncultured bacterium
Lineage: Bacteria
Description: partial 16S ribosomal RNA
Rfam family: Bacterial small subunit ribosomal RNA
Source: RNAcentral